Non-coding RNA from Pseudomonas alkylphenolica, 255 nucleotides. NCBI's taxonomy places the organism in Bacteria, Pseudomonadati, Pseudomonadota, Gammaproteobacteria, Pseudomonadales, Pseudomonadaceae. The record is from Rfam.
UUGCGCAAGUGCUAUUUGAAUGAGCAAUCUUCGCAAUCCUCUGCUGCCGCUCUAGCCCUAUGCUUAUACCCAGAAUCACUGCCCGGACAUCAGUCCAGUGCAGCUGGCCUUAUCAGGGCAGCUGCGGCCAGCAACCCAACAGGGUUGUGCUCGGCCCCCGGGCUACACACUGUUCACAAGACAGCGUGAGGUGAGCCGACGUCACAAGCGUCGAGCACGGACAAAAUUCUCAAAGGGAGACCCCAGGGUCUCCCU